GGACGUGGCGAUAGAGCGUUGAAUGCACCAGUUCCCAAUAGAUCACUGAAGUUAAGCAACGUAGUGGUGGAUAUCCGGAUGGAUGACCAUCUGGGCAAUCGCGUGCUGCUAGCU
Molecule: ribosomal RNA, 114 nt
Filed under: Diaphorina citri (Asian citrus psyllid)
Lineage: Eukaryota; Metazoa; Arthropoda; Insecta; Hemiptera; Psyllidae
Source: RNAcentral